Molecule: ribosomal RNA, 870 nt
Filed under: Cellulomonas sp. VC-CS395
Lineage: Bacteria; Bacillati; Actinomycetota; Actinomycetes; Micrococcales; Cellulomonadaceae
Description: bacterial SSU rRNA
Rfam family: Bacterial small subunit ribosomal RNA
Source: RNAcentral
UGCAAGUCGAACGGUGACGACCAGCUUGCUGGUCUGAUCAGUGGCGAACGGGUGAGUAACACGUGAGCAACCUGCCCUUGACUCUGGGAUAACCACGGGAAACGGUGGCUAAUACCGGAUACGAGACACACAUGCAUGUGUGGUGUCUGGAAAGAUUUAUCGGUCAAGGAUGGGCUCGCGGCCUAUCAGCUUGUUGGUGGGGUAAUGGCCUACCAAGGCGACGACGGGUAGCCGGCCUGAGAGGGCGACCGGCCACACUGGGACUGAGACACGGCCCAGACUCCUACGGGAGGCAGCAGUGGGGAAUAUUGCACAAUGGGCGCAAGCCUGAUGCAGCGACGCCGCGUGAGGGAUGACGGCCUUCGGGUUGUAAACCUCUUUCAGCAGGGAAGAAGCGCAAGUGACGGUNNNUGCAGAAGAAGCGCCGGCUAACUACGUGCCAGCAGCCGCGGUAAUACGUAGGGCGCAAGCGUUGUCCGGAAUUAUUGGGCGUAAAGAGCUCGUAGGCGGUUUGUCGCGUCUGCUGUGAAAACCUGAGGCUCAACCUCGGGCUUGCAGUGGGUACGGGCAGACUAGAGUGCGGUAGGGGUGACUGGAAUUCCUGGUGUAGCGGUGGAAUGCGCAGAUAUCAGGAGGAACACCGAUGGCGAAGGCAGGUCACUGGGCCGCAACUGACGCUGAGGAGCGAAAGCAUGGGGAGCGAACAGGAUUAGAUACCCUGGUAGUCCAUGCCGUAAACGUUGGGCACUAGGUGUGGGGCUCAUUCCACGAGUUCCGUGCCGCAGCAAACGCAUUAAGUGCCCCGCCUGGGGAGUACGGCCGCAAGGCUAAAACUCAAAGAAAUUGACGGGGGCCCGCACAAGCGGCGGA